Long non-coding RNA from Heterocephalus glaber (naked mole-rat), 326 nucleotides. The record is from Ensembl. NCBI's taxonomy places the organism in Eukaryota, Metazoa, Chordata, Mammalia, Rodentia, Bathyergidae.
CGGGAGGGCUUCCGGGCCGCGCUGCACUGGCGGCCACUCCCGACGCUCGGUCGCGCCUCCCUGGCAGGUGUGUGCCGGGAGUGAAAAAGGUUACUCUGCAAGAAUUCUGUUACAGAUGAGCGCAGAGUGGGUAAAACCAGAACCGAGCCUCUCUGGCCAGUGCAGGCCUUUGAUGAAGUAACAGCCCAACUCAAGAACAGCUAGGAAACCCUGGGAAGCAGGUGUCUGGCUGGCCCCGACGAAAGGAGGAAGCACCGCGCCAGGAGCCACUAACCACAUGGUGGAGAAAUCAUGUAAUCUUAGAAGCUGAAAGAAAUUCACAGAAG